Molecule: small RNA, 68 nt
Filed under: Oceanobacillus oncorhynchi
Lineage: Bacteria; Bacillati; Bacillota; Bacilli; Caryophanales; Bacillaceae
Description: Bacillaceae-1 RNA
Rfam family: Bacillaceae-1 RNA
Source: Rfam by way of RNAcentral
GGAAAAGGAUCUUCUACUAAGAACGCCCACGUCGUGUGGGCAGCGCAGAAGCCACCGCAUCCUGCGGA